GAUUGCAUAAUUUGAAUAAUUAAGUAUUCUUGUAUCCUUUAUUAAUUUUAUUCUUGGAAGCAAGUUUAUAAUUCCUAAUUAAAGGGAUUAUUUUAUUAUUUUCAGAGAUGAGAAUGGUGAUAAAUACGAAAUAUUAUUAGUCGACUUAUCGCUCGACUAAUUGAAGUGACUGAUGUUAUUUAAUUAUUUAUCUAUGAGCUUUCUUAUUUUAACAGUGAUGAUUUAUUAUUGUUAUUAUUAUUUCUUAAUUAUUGAGAAUAUUUAUCUAAGUGUGUUUUUGGAAGAAUUUCUUUUAUCUAUACAUUAAGGUAUAUAUAUUUUUCCAUUAAGAUAAAAUAAGGUAUGCACAUAUAUUUAAUAUUUUUCUCCCUCAAGUGGGCCGAUCAAUAGGCCACCAAAUUGGACUCUCAAAUAUAUUGUAUCAAAUGUUUUUAUUUACUGCACAAUUCCCAAUAAAGAAUGGAUGUAUAAUUAAAUAGGUGUAGUGGUAUUUGAAGAAAUCUCAUUUUUCUUGUUCUCAAAACUAUAGACUCUUUCCCCCAAAAACAGAAGCAUCACCUUCUUUCUUCAAGUUGAAAAUCGUAGAAAAAUCUUGAGGCAGUAGCUGUACUAUUUGAAAGAAAAGGUUCGAGUGGCAGUGUAGAAUGAACAAGCAAGGACUUCUAUUUCAUUAAGCGUAUCAGGUGGGCUUACUAACUCAAGAAGUAAAGAUGCAUACUUUAUUAUAUAAAGUUUGAGUGUAUGCAUUUGUUUUCAAAUUAUUGACUUGCCAAUAUUUGAGAUUUGUAUGAUACCAUCUACAUAGAAGAACGAAUUCGGGUCCUGAGCGAGUCAGGAUUUGUGUACACAGAGUUGACAGUUAACCUUUGAGUUAACUUGUCAUCGUGUUUGAGAAUGAGGCCUACUUCUCAACACUUAAAGUUAUAUGAUGCGUAGAUAUGGUACAUACAUGUUAAUUGU
Molecule: long non-coding RNA, 960 nt
Organism: Salvia miltiorrhiza (redroot sage)
Lineage: Eukaryota; Viridiplantae; Streptophyta; Magnoliopsida; Lamiales; Lamiaceae
Exons: 2
Source: RefSeq, a predicted model, not a curated record